CCCUUCGAUACUCUGGGCGGCACGCGCGCUACAAUGGAAAGAGGAAUGUGUCACGGUCUCGGAAGAGGCAGUUAAUCGCGAAUAUAAUGUCGUGAGUGGGAUAGUUCGUUGCAAUUAAGGACUUGAACAAGGAAUUCCUUGUAGGUGUACUGAAUCAUAGUAUACCGAAUACGUCCCUGCCGUUUGUACACACCGCCCGUCGUUUCUUCCGACUGAUGCUCAUUGUGAAUUGUGAGGAGGGGCAACCCAAAUUGCUGUGAAUGCUGAACAUUGGAGGAAGAAAAAGUCGUAACA
RNAcentral lists this ribosomal RNA (294 nucleotides) under uncultured eukaryote. RNAcentral describes it as "partial 18S ribosomal RNA". It matches the Rfam family "Eukaryotic small subunit ribosomal RNA", at positions 1470 to 1796 of the family's 1831-position model. The record is from RNAcentral.